UUCUCUCUCCAUGUUAUUUAUGUGUUUCAAUAAAAACAAAACGCUCUCACAGACGUUCCCUCUCCCUCUCUUUCUCUUCUCUUUCUUCUUCUCCCCUAUCCUCUCUUUUUUCUUCUUCUGUUUUCCUUUUCUUUCUCCAGACGCUCCCUCUCCCUCUCUUUCUUUCUGUUAUGCACAGUCUCUCCGUCCCCCUCUCUUUCUAUUAUGUUCUUUUUCAGGGCAGGUUCCGACAACUGGUGGACUGUUCCGUUGAUGACCUUCUGGGGGUGAUUUAGAAGAGUUUUCCGGUGAUUUUUCCUAAGUUUCAAGUAUGAAAUUAUCAAAGGUUUCCGACAGUGGCCGUGUGUGGUGAGUUUGGCUGAUUUAUUAGAUGAGGUUGGAUUUUGGGGGAUACGGCCAAGCUCUGUUUUGGGUAUUUUCUGAAGGGAGGAUAGACGAUGGUGAUGGUUCGAGAAAUAAGAAGAAAGUGAGGGACUUAGAAAAUGGGGGUUCCCAGAAAAUCAAGGCCGUCGAGGAGUUUCGAGGGAUGGGGAUUCGGCAAUUGCAUGAACAAGCGGCUCUUCGAGGCGUUUCAUCAAUUGGGUCCAAGAAAUAGCUUCUAGAAAGGCUCUGUGAAGAUUCAAAAGACUAGUAUUUAGAGGAAAUUCCUGAAGCUAACGAAAAAGAAAAUGAAAGCAAGAAGGAGAAGGAGAAGAUCAUAACCACAACCAAAAAGGGUGCAGCGGUACUAGAUCAAUGGCUUCCAGAUCACAUAAAGGCUCACUACCAUGUUUUACAACUCGUAAGUGUAACAGUUACUAUAGUAGCGCGUACUAAAUGAGUGGAAUUUUUGUACAGUAGAAUGUAAUCAAAAUUGGUAGAAUUUGUUCGGGUGUUCUUUUUUGUUUUGCGGGGUUCUGAAUUCGGACAGACGGUGGCUUUUAUGGUGCAGGGUGAUUUAAUAUUUGAUGCCAUGUUGAACCAGACGAAUGUUGGAGAUAACAAUAACAAAUUUUUUGUGAUUCAAGCUCUUGGUUAAUUGUGAAGUCCUUUAGAAAAUUUUGGUUACUCUAAUAUAUAUGUUUUGAUUAAGUCAUUGUUAAGC
Molecule: long non-coding RNA, 1084 nt
Organism: Alnus glutinosa
Lineage: Eukaryota; Viridiplantae; Streptophyta; Magnoliopsida; Fagales; Betulaceae
Exons: 3
Source: RefSeq, a predicted model, not a curated record